UAUAAUCAUAAUUGGUCUAGUCCAACAUUCUCAAAUCGUUUUAGAUUUAUGUUUUUUGAAUCCUUUCAAAUUUUUAGAUAUUAAUAUAAACUUACGAUAAAAAGGGCCAGACCCCCACAGAAAUUUAUAUGCAGACCCCCACGGAAAUUUAUGUUAUUAGAAUAAUGAAAUUAAUGACGUGCACAUUUAUUGCCACUACUCUUCAUGAUUUAAUAUACAAUAACACUCCCACAUAAUAACACCAACAAAAGAAAAGGAAAAAAAAAGAUAAUUAUAAAAAGGAAAAUCAAAAGGAUCUUGGGGUUUAUAUAUAUAUAAGAUAUCUAUAUUAUAUCAUCAAAUUGUUUAUUUUAUUUAAAUCAAUGACCUCUUGAAAAAAGAGUCUUUGAUGUCUUAAUUUUAUCGCUUGAGCCUUGAGCUAAUAUGCCCCUUGACAUCUUUAUUAUUUAUAAGCUUUCCCUCAAAAGAAAAAAAGGAAAAAAUUAUAAGCUAGCUGGUAAGAUGAAUCAAUUAGUGAGCGAUGGUACUUUAUUAUCAACAAAGAACAUGGUGAUCGACAAACUCAAUUUUGUCCUUCUCUCACUCUGUGUGAAUACACACAUUAAUUUACAACUAUUUAAACACAGUUUUUCCUCCGUCC
Molecule: long non-coding RNA, 640 nt
Filed under: Salvia miltiorrhiza (redroot sage)
Lineage: Eukaryota; Viridiplantae; Streptophyta; Magnoliopsida; Lamiales; Lamiaceae
Description: long non-coding RNA (SMIL_LNC013360)
Source: RNAcentral